CCACACCAGCUCUGCAAGCUUGAAUCCUCCUUAUGGUGCACGUUGGUCCUGUUUGACGCUAAUCUGGGUGCCCAGGGAGAACAUCUGAUCGAGGCGGGAAUUGCCAAACUCUGUCCUGUGAGCCAAAUCCAGCGCACCAUCCUGAGAAAUUCGCACCAAAGGAAUCUUUGCCAAGACCCAGGAGACUGGAACU
This 193-nucleotide long non-coding RNA is filed under the name Capra hircus (goat). RNAcentral's name for it is "lncRNA (ENSCHIG00010031172.1)". The record is from RNAcentral. Lineage: Eukaryota; Metazoa; Chordata; Mammalia; Artiodactyla; Bovidae.